Molecule: non-coding RNA, 1682 nt
Organism: Macrostomum lignano
Lineage: Eukaryota; Metazoa; Platyhelminthes; Macrostomidae
Source: Rfam
UGACCUCGGAUCAGACGUGAUUACCCGCUGAAUUUAAGCAUAUUAUUAAGCGGAGGAAAAGAAACUAACAAGGAUUCCCCUAGUAACGGCGAGUGAACGGGGAAGAGCCCAACACCGAAUCCCUUGGCGCAAGUCAACGGGAAAUGUGGUGUUAAGGUAGCCCUUCGUGUCAGUCUAGGCGUCUCAAGUCCACCUGAUUGUGGCUCAAGCCCAGAGAGGGUGUAAGGCCCGUAGAGACGCUCCGACUGAUUCCUGGGGUUUACCUACGAGUCGGCUUGUUUGGGAAUGCAGGCCAAAGCGGGUGGUAAACUCCAUCCAAGGCUAAAUACUGGCACGAGUCCGAUAGCGGACAAGUACCGUGAGGGAAAGUUGAAAAGAACUUUGAAGAGAGAGUUCAAUAGUACGUGAAACCGCUUAGAGGCAAACGGAUGGUGCUCAUACUGGCCUGAGGAAUUCAACUGUGACGGUGGCUGGACGAGCUGGCGUUCCGAUCUCUCUUUUGGGACGGGCGUCGGUUUGGCUAUCAGCUCUGACAUGGUGCACUUUCCUUGGUGCCUCCGCCACGACCGACGACACUGGCUACCCGCGGCUGGGGUAAGGUGACAAACUGCUUCGGCAAUUUGUGUUAUAGACCCCGGCGUCGGACAUGGUUUGGCCAGGACGUCGAGCUUGCGGCGCCCGCUCCUUGUGGGCUCGCAUGUUGGCUAGCUUGGCUGCGCCGAUGCUUGCACUGGACAACCAGUACAGGUGACGGUUGUGGUCUUGUCUCUAGUUGGCCUCUGCGAGUUUGGCGCCUAUAGUCUGUGGUGUACUUGUGGGUAGACUAUCCGACCCGUCUUGAAACACGGACCAAGGAGUCUAACAUGUGCGCGAGUCAUGGGGAUUCUACGAAACCCAAAGGCGCAGUGAAAGUAAAGGCCUUGCUUCUCGUAGGCUGAGGUGGGAUCUCGUGCAUCGCGAUUGGCGAGCGCACCACCGGCCCGUCCUAUCUGUCUCUGUCAGUGGGGCGGCGCAAGAGCGUACACGUUGGGACCCGAAAGAUGGUGAACUAUGCUUGCGCAGCUCGAAGUCAGUGGAAACACUGAUGGAGGAGCGCAGCGUUUCUGACGUGCAAAUCGAUCGUCAAACGUGAGUAUAGGGGCGAAAGACUAAUCGAACCAUCUAGUAGCUGGUUCCCUCCGAAGUUUCCCUCAGGAUAGCUGGCACUCGGGAAACAGUUUUAUCCGGUAAAGCGAAUGAUUAGAGGCAUUGGGGUCGAAACGACCUCGACCUAUUCUCAAACUUUAAAUGGGUAAGAUGCUCGUCUCGCUUAAUUGGAGGCGGGCUUACCUCUCUAUAACGUGAAUGUGAGUGCCCAGUGGGCCAUUUUUGGUAAGCAGAAACUGGCGCUGUGGGAUGAACCAAACGCGCGUUAAGGCGCCCAAUGCGGACGCUCAUGAGACACCACAAAAGGUGUUGGUCGAUACUGACAGCAGGACGGUGGCCAUGGAAGUCGGAACCCGCUAAGGAGUGUGUAACAACUCACCUGCCGAAUCAACCAGCCCUGAAAAUGGAUGGCGCUGGAGCGUCGGGCCUAUACCGUGCCGUUGGGGCGAAGCAGACAAAUAAUCUGUGUGGAUGUCCCAACGAGUAGGAGGGUCGCCGUGGUGAGCGCAGAAGGUGCGGCCGUGAGGCCGGCUGGA